UACGGAGGGGGCUAGCGUUGUUCGGAAUUAUUGGGCGUAAAGGGUGCGUAGGCGGUCUGAUAAGUCAAAUGUGAAAUCCUCGGGCUCAACCUGAGAACUGCGUUUGAAACUUUCAGACUUGAAUGUGAGAGAGGGUAACGGAAUUUUUGGUGUAGGGGUGAAAUCCGUAGAUAUCAAGAGGAACGUCAGGGGCGAAAGCGGUUACCUGGAUCACUAUUGACGCUGAGGCACGAAAGCGUGGGGAGCAAACAGG
Molecule: ribosomal RNA, 253 nt
Filed under: uncultured bacterium
Lineage: Bacteria
Description: partial 16S ribosomal RNA
Rfam family: Bacterial small subunit ribosomal RNA
Source: RNAcentral